UAGGGAAUCUUCCGCAAUGGGCGAAAGCCUGACGGAGCAACGCCGCGUGAGUGAAGAAGGAUUUCGGUUCGUAAAGCUCUGUUGUUAGGGAAGAAUGAUUAUGUAGUAACUAUACAUAGUAGAGACGGUACCUAACCAGAAAGACACGGCUAACUACGUGCCAGCAGCCGCGGUAAUACGUAGGUGGCAAGCGUUGUCCGGAAUUAUUGGGCGUAAAGCGCGCGCAGGUGGUUUAAUAAGUCUGAUGUGAAAGCCCACGGCUCAACCGUGGAGGGUCAUUGGAAACUGUUAAACUUGAGUGCAGGAGAGAAAAGUGGAAUUCCUAGUGUAGCGGUGAAAUGCGUAGAGAUUAGGAGGAACACCGGUGGCGAAAGCGGCUCUCUGGCUUGUAACUGACGCUGAGGCUCGAAAGCGUGGGGAGCAAACAGGAUUAGAUACCCUGGUAGUCCACGCCGUAAACGAUGAGUGCUAGGUGUUAGACCCUUUCCGGGGUUUAGUGCCGCAGCUAACGCAUUAAGCACUCCGCCUGGGGAGUACGACCGCAAGGUUG
This 550-nucleotide ribosomal RNA is filed under the name uncultured bacterium. RNAcentral describes it as "bacterial SSU rRNA". It matches the Rfam family "Bacterial small subunit ribosomal RNA", at positions 355 to 896 of the family's 1533-position model. The record is from RNAcentral.